UCGCGUUUCCUCCUUCGGCGCCAUUUUGUAGCGCAGAGAAUCCGCAAAUAAAGAGCAGGCGGUAGCGCGGGGUGGGAGAGGCGGCGACCGUGGGGGUCCCGGGUCUGGUCGCUGAGGCGGGUGCGGAAGGUGCCGCCCUUGAUGUGACGGGCCAGGCCCGGGCAGUCGGUGCGCAGGGACAGUGAGGCCUCCGCGCCGCAAGCAAGAGUUCACAAUGACUAAUGAAGAACCUCUCCCAAAGAAGGUUCGCCUUAGUGAAACAGACUUUAAGGUUUUGGGUAGAGAUGAACUGAUCCUAAGGUGGAAGCAAUAUGAAGCGUAUGUACAGGCUCUGGAGGGCAAAUACACAGAUCUUAAUUCUAAUGAUGUAACUGGAUUGAGAGAGUCUGAAGAGAAGCUGAAGCAGCAACAGCAAGAGUCUGCCCGAAGAGAGAAUAUCCUGGUGAUGAGGCUGGCAACUAAGGAACAGGAAAUGCAAGAGUGUACUAAUCAGAUUCAGUACCUCAAGCAAGUCCAGCAGCCUAGUGUUGCCCAACUGAGAUCAACAAUGGUGGACCCAGCCAUCAACUUGUUUUUCCUAAAAAUGAAAGGUGAACUGGAACAGACUAAAGACAAACUGGAACAAGCCCAAAAUGAACUGAGUGCCUGGAAAUUUACGCCUGAUAGAGGCCUGAUGGCGUCGGACUAUUCUGAAGAAGUGGCCACCUCUGAAAAUUUUUUCCUUUCUAGAACAUGUAGACACGUGCAAAGUGGUUCUAUUUGAAGAAAUAGAGGGAGAAACAGAAGUCUUAAGUCUGUGGCACACUGUGUCUACAGACAGUUUGGAGGAGAGAGAACCUAGAGAUUUUAAAUCAUGAAUUGAACAUGUAAAAUUCCAGUAAAAUGUAAAAAUGGAAUGUGCUUUGCUCUUAACCUUGAGCCUAGUGACUUAGAGACACUGUAAGUCAGUUUUGCCAAUAAGACUGUGGACUUCCUGCUUGUUCACUGAACUGCUGGGUCAAAACUCAAGGAGGUGAAUUUUGCAUUAAAGAGUUUAUUUGCUAACCAGCUUUAAAUAGCUAUGAGAGAGUGCUAUUUCAUAUCGCAUCAGUGGUAGUGUACACUUUUGACUGACUGUUUAGCAUUUGGGCUAUAUAGCGUUUCACUGAGCCGUAAGUCAAUAUGAUUUUAAAUAACAGAUUGUUCUCUGGAUGGUUGAUGAUACUGUGAACUCGCAAGUAGGACUGUAUAAAAUACAGGUACUAUCUAAUUGCAGGUUUAAAAUUGUUUGAAGCAAUAUAUUUGAUCACAACUAGAGUGUAUGAUGAGGAAAACCUAGUUGUGAUAAGUAUUUCACUGCAUGUUUCCAUGCAGAAAUUACAAUUUUGCAAAUGCUCCAUAUAUAAGGCACACAUAAUGACAACUGUCCUCAGUGUUGGUGUGGGGUAUUUUUUUGUUUCAUUGUAUGCCUGUUUUUGUAUUGCACUUCUAUAUAAAAUGUGCCUUGAAAGAGUUGUUAAUAUAGAACUUAAGGAACAUGAGUGGUCAUACUGUUGUACUGUGAAACUUUUGAGGUAAUGAACGAGAAUGUUACUUUUAAGAUGUCUCGUUCUCUGAAAGAGGGAAGACCAUAUUCUUCAAAAAAAAAAAAAUAUAUAAAUGCAUGCAUCCUUCUGGCUGGAAUCAAUCAAGGGCUUUGCUACUCUGUUGAUGCCUUUUUAUAAUGUUGUCCCAAGUUAUUUGCAAGAAUAGUAAUAUGGGACAGCUCAGAGUGGACAUUUGAGAUGUGUAAGUGUGCAGAGAAACGUGAAAUUAUGUGGACUGGUAUAGUGCUCAUGUAUUUUUAGCCAAUUAAUUUGUCAUCAGAACAUUUAAUGUUCUAGAUAUAGUUAAUCAGGCAUUAUUUCAUGACUCUAACGCUGGAAAGUUCAGUGUAACCACAAAAUUAAAAAAAACAAACCUACCUAAAACCCCAAAUCCAUCAGGUUCAGUUUUAUGAAAGGUAAUGUUUUCUACCAGGUGGGUAGACAACAACUGCUUAUUGUUGAAAAUGCAGUUUUCAUUAAGAUCACUUAAAUUUUAAUUCAACUCACUCAAACUGUUGUGUGCUUCAGAUAAUUAAUGUGGGGGAGAGAGAGUAGUGUGCUUGUGUGUAGGCUUGUUACCUAAGCAAUGGAUUUACAUCAAAAGGAAACCUUAAAAUUUUGAACUUUAAAAAAAAAAUUAUACAUAUAUUGAACCUACUUUGCUGUGGCAGUAUUAUGUAAGGUUUUAGUGGUCUAGCAUCAAAACAAAGGUAAGACUUUCAUUAGUGAACAAUUCUGUUAAUAUGUUACCAAAUUUGAAAUUACUAUUUACUAUAAUAUGCAGUCAAAAAAGCCAGCCAUGCUGAUUGCUUGGUUAACUUGGAGUUUAUAAAUCAGUUAAUUUUAUUUAGAUAAAGGAUGCAGAACUGUCCUCUGGAUCAAAAUGUGUUGUAUGACACUGAGGUAACAGAUGUUUCCUACCACUUUGUCUUAAUUUCAAGCAGAAGUAUUUAGAAAUCUUUUUUUUGCUAAUUUUUAUGUAGUCUUGAGUGGGGAGUUUGUUGUGUUUAAAUGUAAGUGAUAAAAGAGAACUGAACAAUAUUCCCUAAUUCAAAUUCUAUGUAACUUGAGUCUAAUCAUGGUGCAAGUAUAUAAAUACACAUUAGAUAUGUGCAGGAAAUAGAAUGCAAGGAAUCAACAAUUUAUUUCUAGUCUGUUUAGUUAUUUAAGGAACUCUUUUAUUUGUCAUUUGGGUUCAUGAUUUUAUUUUCAUCGGUAAAGGGAUAAUGAGUCAAACUGCUCAAGCUGUAAAGAGUUUGUAGAAAUUUUCAUUUAUCGUUUCACUAGGAACUGUUUCCCAUUUAUUGUCCCGUCCUUGUGUAUAACCGCUCUUAUUUCAUGGCACCUCAUCUCAUGUUUGAAAGAGUUGAUGAUCUCCUUCAAAAUCGUAAAUUGUUCUGAACUAACAAACACACGUCUGCUCCAACACCACUGCAGGCCCAAGUUUAUCAUCAAGCCUGGGACUUCAUUGUAGUAAAUGCAUACAGCAUUAUCCUUGCUGACAGAUGUUUAGAGGGGGAAAGAAGUCAGCACAACUCUAAGCUUCAAGAACUUGGCAUUGGACAUCACAUCAAGAUAAAGAACAGGUUGCUGUAUUAAACACAUUUGCAGGCUUCCAGGACUUUACGCAGCCAGAUUCCUUCUGGAGCAGCCCAUCUGAAAGAUGUGGGACAGUCAGUUGGAAGACUUUAAAUGGGACAGUUGGCAGAACUUUUAAAAACCUGAAGUGUUAAAAGCUUGAAUGCUUAAGCAGUAGCUAAUUGAGAGAUUAUUUGAAGUGACUUUUGGCUGGGCACCAGUUUUGCUGUGGUUGUGAAGCAUACUAGCAAUCCCCCUCCCCCCCCCCUUUUUUUUUAAUAUGCAAAAUUUCAUUCUGCCCUUGUAACUUUAUUAUACACUCUCAAGCUGACCUCCUCAGACUUGUUACCCUAAUACAAGUCCUGACGUUCAAUCACAAACCUGAUUAAUUCUGUUUUUCCAGGCUUUCAUUUCCUGUGGAAAAAGAGGACUGCUUCAUUAUAUAUGUUGCUGAACCUCAAAGAAGGCAAAAUAUUUGUGGUUACUUUCCUAGCUUUGGCAGACCAACAGUGUUAAAGGGUGCUUUAGCUCUCACUUUUAUUUUGUGACGAAAUAAACAUUAUUGCCUAUA
RNA transcript from Gopherus evgoodei (Goodes thornscrub tortoise), 3714 nucleotides. It is a transcript of the gene named WT1 associated protein, with no coding region annotated. Lineage: Eukaryota; Metazoa; Chordata; Testudines; Testudinidae. The transcript is spliced from 8 exons. The record is from RefSeq and is a predicted model, not a curated record.